Streptomyces avermitilis MA-4680 = NBRC 14893 is the source of this 75-nucleotide non-coding RNA. It matches the Rfam family "ASpks TB sRNA". The record is from Rfam. Lineage: Bacteria; Bacillati; Actinomycetota; Actinomycetes; Kitasatosporales; Streptomycetaceae.
CUUCAGCGAACCCAGCCACAGCGGCCGGUCGCCGUCCCGUCCCUGGCCGUAGGCGGCGAUGAGGGCUUCCGCCUC